Thalassophryne amazonica is the source of this 171-nucleotide long non-coding RNA. RefSeq lists it as uncharacterized. Lineage: Eukaryota; Metazoa; Chordata; Actinopteri; Batrachoidiformes; Batrachoididae. The transcript is spliced from 3 exons. The record is from RefSeq and is a predicted model, not a curated record.
AAAGCGAAAAAUUAGAGUGUUCAAAGCAGGCCCAGUCGCCUGAAUACCCCAGCUAGGAAUAAUGAAAUUGGACUGUGGUUCUAUUUUGUGGGUUUUCUCUCUCUGAACUGGGACCAUGAUUAAGAGGGAUGGCCGGGAACAUUUGUAUUGUGCCAGAGGGGAAAUUCUUGG